CGACUCCUACGGGGCGCAGCAGUGAGGAAUAUUGGUCAAUGGUCGGGAGACUGAACCAGCCAAGCCGCGUGAGGGAGGAAGGUACAGAGUAUCGUAAACCUCUUUUGUCAGGGAACAAAGACUGGGACGCGUCCCCGGAUGAGUGUACCUGAAGAAAAAGCAUCGGCUAACUCCGUGCCAGCAGCCGCGGUAAUACGGAGGAUGCGAGCGUUAUCCGGAUUUAUUGGGUUUAAAGGGUGCGCAGGCGGUCUGUUAAGUCAGCGGUCAAAGCCCGGGGCUCAACCCCGGCCCGCCGUUGAAACUGG
This 305-nucleotide ribosomal RNA is filed under the name uncultured bacterium. RNAcentral describes it as "bacterial SSU rRNA". It matches the Rfam family "Bacterial small subunit ribosomal RNA", at positions 333 to 636 of the family's 1533-position model. The record is from RNAcentral.